Monodelphis domestica (gray short-tailed opossum) is the source of this 3090-nucleotide non-coding RNA. The record is from RefSeq and is a predicted model, not a curated record. Lineage: Eukaryota; Metazoa; Chordata; Mammalia; Didelphimorphia; Didelphidae.
CAAGGGAAUCUACCCUGAAAGGAAUCCCAGGCUAGCAGUUUCAGACUGAGUGAGGGACCCUCAGGGGAAUGACAAUCCUAGUUGAGUGAGACUAAGCAUAUGGUAAGGACCCUCUUUGUUUAGGUAGUCUCCCCUAUUAUACCCUAGCCUCUAACUAUGAUUCCUUUCCCAAGCUUGAUUGUAUCCUGUCUGUGUAGUAUGUAUGUUCCCAUUUUCUUUGUAGCUAUAGCAUUGUCAAUCAUUUUUCCUUGCCCCUGAUUUUCCCCUAAACGGUAUAUAGGAUCCCCCAAUUCUUUUGUUCCCUGGAGUGGUCAUCUAGUGUGGUGGCACUCCCAGGGGUCAGUGUCCAGAGCGGCCAGAGUUCAAUCCUCAGACUCUGUGCAGUCAUGUGUGGCACCCAGCUCUGUUGUCAAGGCCUACUAGCACUGAACCCCUUUUUGCCCUUGAUUAAAGAGUGAUUUUGGCUAUUUAAUAGUUCUGUUUUUUCCCAGUUGAUAUUUUGGAGGUCCCACCGAGAUCCGAAGUCCCGGCUGCCUGAGCCUCCCUGCUAACGAGGACCCUAAAACUUGAGGUACCCACACAACCCAUUUGGGGUUUGGGGUUCAGUCAGGAGUCUGGCUAGCAGAGGGGCCAGGUAAGUGGCUCUCCAAGGAAGGACUCAUGUAUUGGGGAGUGACUCACUCUAAUUAAGAGAUUGUUAAGCGGGCAUCUGUGGGGUACACAGAGAGCCCCAUAGUCCAGAGCUACCCGGGUGCUGAUGGACAUGGGAAACAGCAUGUCUGUGAUCCCACAAAUUGAGGUGGGGGCAGCCGGCAGCCUGAGGAACCACCUAAUGAUUCGGCCCUUUUGAAGAUUUGAGAAGAUGAGAAGAUGGCAGAGUCUGGCCCAAACACAUAUUGGACAACGUGGAGUCUGGUUCAACCUGGCUACAAUCUCCGAGCUUCAUUAGAUUUUGGGGGGCUGCGUUGGUGCCUGUGUGAGUGCAGCAGGUCUGUGCUAGAGGUGGGGGCAGGAGAGCAUUUCAGAGACGUGAAUGGUUGGCCAAAAGCUUUGAAUGGGAAGCUGGAGCUGGAAUGUGGGAGCCUGAGUGUUCAAUUGAAGUUCUGGGUAACCGCUUUAAGUUGAUUAAAAUAGAGAAAGCUUCUUCAUGAAUUGAAAUGCUAAGGCUUAAGGUAUAAAAGGUCAUAAAUUUUUCUUAUGAAAGAGCUUCUCAUAGAAGCUUAAAGAACUAAAGUUCUGGGUUUCUCAAUGUUCUGGGGGCUUUUGCCUAUAUUGUAUGUCUAAUGUAUUUUUUAGGUGAAGACUUCGCCAAUAAUUUCAAAUGCUUGUGAUUUAAAUGUUAGCAAAUAACGUCUGAAAGUUGAGUUAACAAUUAAUUCCCCCCAAAAGUUGAAGAGGCGAGACUGGAGCUGGUGAUGUGGAUAUGGGACUAUCCAGCAGGAGACAAAAGGAGGUCCAGAAAUUCUUAAACUUUAAUUUUUUCUUCCCAAAGUUUUGGUAUUGUUAAUGUGUGAAAUAUUUUGUACCAAGUGCAGUUAAUAUUGGUAAUAAGAGGGGGCAGCUGGGUAGCUCAGUGGAUUGAGAGCCAGGCCUAAAGAUAGGAGGUCCUGGGUUUAAAUUUGGCCUCAAACACUUCCCAGCUGUGUGACCCUGGGCAAGUCACUUGACCCCCAUUGCCUAGCUUUUACCACUCUUCUGCCUGGUUCCAAGAUGGAAGAUGGUUCUUAGGAGCCAGAAGCCUGGAUAAGAUUUUCCUGCAGCCUAGAUUCUGAAGAAUUCGUGAAGAAGGCAUCUCUUAUGAGAAAUCUAAAGGAUUCCCCCAAGAUACUGAAUCCAGCUGAAGUCUGGCACAAAAGGACAAGUCUUCAGGAGGACAGAAGUCUGCCAGGAGAGGAGGCUAGCUGAAGGCAUCAUAUCAGGACCCACCAGAUUAAAGACUUAAGACUUUGGGGAAAUGCAGUAGUGUUUUGAUUUUUAGUUUUUGCCAAAGGCAGACUGCCUGCCUUUCUGGCUCAAAUGUUAAUGCGCUUGCUGCAUUGGGGAAUGCCCCCAAAUGCCAACUGCCUGUACCUGUACCCCAAGGCUUUCCCAACAUUAGUGAUGAAAGUCCAACCCCAUGUAGCAUUUCCCAUUUGUCCAUUUAUUUGGUCAGUGAUAGCCAGUCUUGACCAAACGGGGGGAGAGGGGGGAAAUUCAACAUGGAAUCUAGGAAUCCCAAACUUGUGGCCUAGUGGGAUCUGAUGAACCCCAAGUUUCAGGUCUAGCUUAUAGGUUGGAGACACCAAAACUUGUCCUUGUUCCCUGUUCCCAAGGGAAUCUACCCUGAAGGGAAUCCCAGGCUAGCAGUUUCAGACUGAGUGGGGGACCCUCAGGGGAAUGACAAUCUUAGUUGGGUGAGACUAAGCAUAUGCUUAGGAUCCUCUUUGUUUUAGGUAGUCUCCCCUAUUAUAUCAGAGACCCUUUCUCAAGAACAUCCACACCUGGGCAGGAACCAUCCUUAGUAUGCAUUGUAAGCAGCCCCUUCUCUUACUAUGAUUCCUUUCCUCUUAACUAUGAUUCCUUUCCCAAGCUUGAUUGUAUCCUGUCAUUGUAGUUUGAAUGCUCCCACUUUCUUUGUAGCUAUAGUGAUGUCAACCAUCUUUCCUUGCCCCUGAUUUUCCCCCAAAUGGUAUAUAGGAUCCCCCAAUUCUUCCCUGGAGUGGUCAUCUAGUGUGGUGGCACUCCUAGGGGUGUGUGGCACACAGCUCUGUUGUCGAGGCCUACUAGCGCUGAACCCCUUUUUGCCCUUGGUUAAAGAGUGAUUUUGACUAAUAGUUCUGUGUUUUUUCCCAGUUGACAACAUCCAGAGAAGGAACUGUGGGAGUAGAAACACAGAAGGAAAACAACUGCUUGAUCACAUGCGUUGAUGGGGAUAUGAUUGGGGAUGUAGACCUUAAAAGAUCACCCUAAUGCAAAUGUUAAUAAUACGGAAAUAGGUCUUGAUCAAUGACACAUGUUAAACCCAGUGGAAUUGUGCAUCAGAUACAGGAAGGGGGUGGGGACAGGGGAGGGAAAGAACAUGAGUCUUGUAACCAUGGGAAAAUAUUCUAA